CUGGCGACUACGUACACGUGGCGUGGUCACACAAUCUGCACCUUAAAGAAAGCUGGACGUGGACCCCUCUCUCUCUCUCUCUCUCUCUCUCUCUCUCUCUCUCUCUCUCUCUCUCUGUUCCCUGCUCUGCUCUGCCCCUGCCAUCUUUCUCUCUCUCCAGGCCUGGCUCUCCUCCCUCCCGUCCCCUCCUUCCUUCCAAUAACGCUCUCUGUAACUCUGGUAGUCUUGGCCGUGGCUUGUGACUUUUCCCCGGGAACCAGCACUGCCACCAGUGCCGAUUAUCAUCCCUUCAUUGGUGCCGUGGACUCGGAUAGGAAAUUCUGCUCACUCGGUGUCCGGGGCGGAGUGUUGUUGGACACCUAUACCGAGGACCUGUGACUGCCCGCUGUGCCGUCACCGCAGCCGCCACCACGGUACUGCAUCGGGACUGUGCUCAUGCCUCCCAGACUGCUGCCUCCGCCACGUCUCCCCGACCACACGUGCUGCCAAGAUUGCUCCAGAAACCAGCUUAAAUCCAUCUGGACAGGGUGGAUCUACUUCAGGCUUCUUCUGUCUCACCAUCAUCCUGUCAGACACAGGAGCGGCCAGAGUGCCAAGCCAAGAGGGAUGGACGGCUCCAGGGCAACAGGACAGCCCACCAUCCCAGGACGCCUGUCUACCUUGGAAGGCCACCUUCCCUACCCACCCCAAGAGCCAACUGAUGCCCACCAGGUCAGCUGAAAGCAGUUUUUUCAGGAGAAACGACGCCCCUGUUCCUGUUCACUCACUUUUUUACAAUAAGCAAAAAGUCUGGAAUGUUAGGAUCCUGCCCUCACUCCUGCACAUGCGCAGCUUGGGGUCUUACGUCUUAUGUCAUUGGGGACACGGGUGACUACGUACACGUGGUGUGGUCACACAAUCUGCGGCCUAAAAAAACUGGACAUGGAUCCCUCUCUCUCUCUCUCUCUCUCUCUCUUCCCUGCUCUGCUCUGCUCCUGCCAUCUUUCCUUUUCUCCAGGCCUGGCUCUCCUUCCUCCUGUCCCCUCCUCCUUUCUAAUACAGCUCUCUGUAACUCUGA
Long non-coding RNA from Peromyscus californicus insignis, 1057 nucleotides. RefSeq lists it as uncharacterized. The record is from RefSeq and is a predicted model, not a curated record. NCBI's taxonomy places the organism in Eukaryota, Metazoa, Chordata, Mammalia, Rodentia, Cricetidae. The transcript has 2 exons.